Bombyx mori (domestic silkworm) is the source of this 562-nucleotide long non-coding RNA. RefSeq lists it as uncharacterized. The transcript has 3 exons. The record is from RefSeq and is a predicted model, not a curated record. NCBI's taxonomy places the organism in Eukaryota, Metazoa, Arthropoda, Insecta, Lepidoptera, Bombycidae.
CGAUAAAUAGUUUAUCGAUUAAGGUAACAUCACUUAAUGCUAUAAUAUUUUCACAAAAGAUAAAAUUUCAAAGUAUAGAAAAUUUACAGUACAGAAUAAAUCUAAAAUGUGUGAUCGCAUGGAUGCUAUUAAUAAAUUACAAACUGUUAUGUCCGCAAUUCGAGGCGGUUGCAGCGGAUGCCCAUCGCCCUGUAACUCCACCAGAAAUUGUACUCCGUGCUGCAGCGGAGGAUCUCUGGUCACAGUUUACAAUGCUGUGUUAGCUAUAGGCCAACCUCCUCGUCCUAUUGCUGCCUUUGACAAAGCUACUAUAGCGAUCGGUCAUCACGGUCGGAAUAUCAAAACCUAUUGAGACAAGUCGAACACGAGAAAUCAAAUUAUGUUGUUAAUGUUAUAAUGUCCUAGAAAUAUGUUCUGUGUUAGUGGCAAAAGUAGUAUAAUUUUGUGAAUCUGUGUAUUGUAUCUUGUUAAUAUUUGCAAAUUAGAAGACAUCUGCUGCAAAACCCUAUCUUGGAAACUUCAUUACCAAAGAGAAUAUAAUUGAUAUGUUUUAAUUGUUUAA